This 92-nucleotide transfer RNA is filed under the name Naumovozyma dairenensis CBS 421. RNAcentral's name for it is "tRNA-Phe". The record is from RNAcentral. Lineage: Eukaryota; Fungi; Ascomycota; Saccharomycetes; Saccharomycetales; Saccharomycetaceae.
UAUACUUCGGUCAAAAGAAAUCUGGAGGUCGUGUGUUCGAUCCACACAAUUCGCAAAUCUGGAGGUCGUGUGUUCGAUCCACACAAUUCGCA